This 497-nucleotide ribosomal RNA is filed under the name uncultured bacterium. Its description in RNAcentral is "partial 16S ribosomal RNA". It matches the Rfam family "Bacterial small subunit ribosomal RNA", at positions 28 to 507 of the family's 1533-position model. The record is from RNAcentral.
GAUGAACGCUGGCGGCGUGCCUAAUACAUGCAAGUCGAGCGAACAGACGAGGAGCUUGCUCCUCUGACGUUAGCGGCGGACGGGUGAGUAACACGUGGAUAACCUACCUAUAAUACUGGGAUAACCUCGGGAAACCGGAGCUAAUACCGGAUAAUAUAUUGAACCGCAUGGUUCAAUAGUGAAAGACGGUUUUGCUGUCACUUAUAGAUGGAUCCGCGCCGCAUUAGCUAGUUGGUAAGGUAACGGCUUACCAAGGCAACGAUGCGUAGCCGACCUGAGAGGGUGAUCGGCCACACUGGAACUGAGACACGGUCCAGACUCCUACGGGAGGCAGCAGUAGGGAAUCUUCCGCAAUGGGCGAAAGCAUGACGGAGCAACGCCGCGUGAGUGAUGAAGGUCUUCGGAUCGUAAAACUCUGUUAUUAGGGAAGAACAAAUGUGUAAGUAACUAUGCACGUCUUGACGGUACCUAAUCAGAAAGCCACGGCUAACUACGUG